GCGUGGGUGAAGAAGGUCUUAGGAUUGUAAAGCCCUUUCAGCGGGGAAGAUGAUGACGGUACCCGCAGAAGAAGCCCCGGCUAACUCCGUGCCAGCAGCCGCGGUAAGACGGAGGGGGCUAGCGUUGUUCGGAAUUACUGGGCGUAAAGGGCGUGUAGGCGGAUCGGUCAGUCAGGGGUGAAAGCCCUGGGCUCAACCCAGGAAUUGCCUUUGAUACUGCCGAUCUAGAGUCCGGGAGAGGAUAGUGGAAUUCCCAGUGUAGAGGUGAAAUUCGU
RNAcentral lists this ribosomal RNA (275 nucleotides) under uncultured bacterium. RNAcentral's name for it is "partial 16S ribosomal RNA". It matches the Rfam family "Bacterial small subunit ribosomal RNA", at positions 399 to 691 of the family's 1533-position model. The record is from RNAcentral.